UUCGCAAUGCCCGAAAGGGUGACGAAGCGACGCCGCGUGUGGGAAGAAGGCCUUCGGGUUGUAAACCACUGUCGGGAGUUAAGAAAUGCAAGGAUAUGAAUAGUGUCUUUGCUUGACUAAGGCUCCGGAGGAAGCCACGGCUAACUCUGUGCCAGCAGCCGCGGUAAUACAGAGGCGGCAAGCGUUGUUCGGAAUUAUUGGGCGUAAAGGGCACGUAGGCGGCUAUGUAAGUCGGUUGUGAAAGCCUUCCGCUCAACGGGAGAACAGCAUCCGAUACUACAUGGCUUGAGUGCGGGAGGGGAGAGUGGAACUUCUGGUGGAGCGGUGAAAUGCGUAGAUAUCAGAAGGAACGCCGGCGGCGAAAGCGGCUCUCUGGCCCAUAACUGACGCUGAGUGUGCGAAAGCUAGGGGAGCAAACGGGAUUAGAUACCCCGGUAGUCCUAGCCGUAAACGAUGGGCACUAAGUAGAGGGGUUUU
RNAcentral lists this ribosomal RNA (477 nucleotides) under uncultured bacterium. Its description in RNAcentral is "bacterial SSU rRNA". It matches the Rfam family "Bacterial small subunit ribosomal RNA", at positions 365 to 832 of the family's 1533-position model. The record is from RNAcentral.